GGGGCACCCAGAAAUGGUGUCCUGUUAUGAGAUACGUGGUGCGUUCUGAGCAAAGGGGUCACGUUUGGAUGAGGGCUGUGUGAUGCGCGCUGUGCGCGGCGUGGGAAUGGCACGGUGAUCCCCAGGGGGGGCUUCGCUUGAGGGGUGCAGGGGUUUGCAGCACAGAGCGUGGAGGAGAUGCUGAGGUGGCAGUGGUGGUGGGCAGGAAUUGGGGGUAUUCGGGGUGCAGGGGUUUGCAGCAAAGCACAGAGCAUGGAGGUGGUGCUGAGGUGGCAGUGGUGGUGGGCAGGAAUUGGGGGUGUUCGGGGUGCAGGGAUUUGCAGCAAAGCACAGUGCAUGGAGGUGAUGCUGAGAUGGCAGUGGUGGUGGGGCAGGAAUUGGGGGAUCACUCAGAGUGCAGGGAUUAGCAGCACAUUGCAUGGAGGUGAUGCUGGGGUGACAGCAGUGGUGGGGCAGGAAUGGGGGGUCACUCAGUGCAGGGGUUUGCAGCAAAGCACAUUGCAUGGAGGUGAUGCUGAGAUGGCAGUGGUGGUGGGCAGGAAGGGGGGACAUAGUGCAGGGGUUUGCAGCACAGAGCGUGGAGGAGAUGCUGAUAUGGCAGUGAUGGGGGCAGAAAUGGAGUGGAUCACUCAGAGUGCAGGGAUUUGCAGCACAUUGCAUGGAAGUGAUGCUGAGGUGGCAGUGAUGUUGGGGUAGGAAUUGGGGAUGCUCAGAGUGCAGGGGUUUGCAGCACAGAGCAUGGAGGUGAUGCUGAAAAGCCAUGGAUGGGGCGCAGAGAUGGGUGACAGCCAUCGGCAUCCGCGCCCUUCCUUUGCUGAGCCGCACAGAGAUCACCUUGCCACCGAAUCCAGCGCACGGUUCUCAUCUUUUUCUGCCCCUCAGACCCCAUCAGACCCCAUCAGCCGAGCUGGAAGGGGAGCUGGCAGUCUGCCCGUCCCGUCCCGGCAGUGCUGCCGGGCAGAAAGCAGAAACAAAAAAGGAGGAUGGUGCCACCUCCCGGCACCCGCUCGGCUCUCCCCACCCCGCAGCGCACCGCGGACCGGCGGGGGACCCGCGCGGCCGUGGGCUGAACUCCACGGGGCAGGUGGGGAAACUGAGGCACGGGGCACCUCCUGCCGCCGAGCCCGAGGGCACGGCCUGCCCUUUACAUCCCCUCUCACCUCCCCGUCGGGCUGCGGAUCGCUCGGCUCCUUCGUCCCAUCCCACCUCUGCAGGGCUGUGGGGCGCAGGGGUGGCCGAACCCCGUCUCCCAUCUCCAUCCGUGGGGUGCAUUUGGGCACUGUGGUAGGGAUUCGUGGUUCAGCAGCUGAACUGCAAACAACAGAAAGGCCACGGGGGGAGAUUUCAGGCUCUUUAGUUCUGGCUGUCACUAAAGCAUCACCUUUUGGCCCAAAACUGCAGCGCCGGUCAGCACGCAGAAGCGAAGCCCACUUUGGUGCCAUGCUCAGGUUGUGCCCUUCGUUCCGACUUCCCCAAUUCUGGGCUCUUUGCGAAUGAAAACUGCCCUACAACCAUCAAAACGUGCCCUCCCAGUGCUUCAAACGAGUGAGAAUCCAUCCCUAUAGGCCUAUGGAUGGCCGGGGGUGCACGAGGGCUUGGAGAUGGGAGGAAACACAGAAGUAAAAAGGGGUUCCCCCUUUAGCCAACACUCUCCCUGCAGGAUUCCCAUCCCAAUCGCAUCAGGACUGCCUUUCACCCUGCCCCACUUCCCCGAUAACCAUCGCAGCUUUCCUUCCUUAAUUGCUUUCUGCCGUUCUCGCAGAUCACCCCCGAGAACCCGGACACGCUCCUCCUCAUUCAAUGGGCGAUCAGUCGCCAAUCAGCCCCAACGAUCCGGCUGCGAUAAGGUCCCGGUUUGAUGUUAAUCAGCCCUAAUGCACAGCUGGGGCGGAGCUCUGCAUGCUUCGUUCACACGCAGCAGCUCACUGCUUUCCCUUCAACCCUCUGCUGCAGUGCUUUCCCCUUGCAGGGAUUUCCAAUUGGGGAGAAAACGGUUUAUGCCAUGCAUUCAGGGCAAUGAGCUGAGCACCAAACUGCAGGACCCCAUACCCACCCCACCCAACACAACCUGAGCACCCACAGUGCACGACCCCAUACCCACCCCACCCAACACAACCUGAGCACCCACACUGCACGACCCCAUAUCCACCCACUCAACACAACCUGAGCACCCACACUGCACGACCCCAUAUCCACCCCAUCCAACACAACCUGAGCACCCACACUCCAUGACCCCAUAUCCACCCCACCCUGCAGAACCUGAGCACCCACACAGCAGGACCCCAUACCCACCCCACCCAACACAACCUGAGCACCCACAGUGCACAACCCCAUAUCCACCCACCC
RNAcentral lists this long non-coding RNA (2346 nucleotides) under Gallus gallus (chicken). RNAcentral describes it as "lncRNA (ENSGALG00010021005.1)". The record is from RNAcentral. Lineage: Eukaryota; Metazoa; Chordata; Aves; Galliformes; Phasianidae.